GAGGUUCGCCAGAGAAAAACUCGCCGGAGAAGAAACUUGCCGGUGGAAAAGGCGUCGCCGGAGAGAAAAAAGGGAGAGAGAUGAAGAAGAGAAGGAAGGAGAGGGGAGUGAUUAGAUGAAGAAGAGAGGAGAGGAGAGUGUUUUUUUUUUUUUUUGGGAGUAGGAGUGGGAGUUGGCUGUGAGAGUAAUGGGAGAGUAAUGAGAGAUAUAUUAUUAAUUAUAAAAGGAUAUGAUAGAAUUGUAAUGUUUGUUUAAGGGUAAUUUCGGUAUUUUAGUAAAAAAAUUUAAGUUGUGAAACAGCUUGUGCGGGAAUCUGUUUUGGAAAAGCAAGUUUUUUCAGCUUCUGCUUUUGGAGGUUGAAGAAUCAGUUUUCAGCUUUUAGGAAGCAGAAUCAGAUUUCUAAAU
RNAcentral lists this long non-coding RNA (405 nucleotides) under Ananas comosus (pineapple). Its description in RNAcentral is "long non-coding RNA (ACOM_LNC023993)". Lineage: Eukaryota; Viridiplantae; Streptophyta; Magnoliopsida; Poales; Bromeliaceae. The record is from RNAcentral.